Molecule: long non-coding RNA, 1754 nt
Organism: Psammomys obesus (fat sand rat)
Lineage: Eukaryota; Metazoa; Chordata; Mammalia; Rodentia; Muridae
Exons: 5
Source: RefSeq, a predicted model, not a curated record
UAGAAGGAAAUUAAACGAGAGCUCCAAGACACUGCACCCGGAUCAAGUUUAAAAAAGGUUGAGAUCCGAGAGGACAGGAUCAUGAUGAGAUGCACAGACGCAGAUUUGCUGUCAGGCUGCAUUUUGGGUCAGAGACCUAAGGUCUAGAAUGUAGGAGUUUGACUCAUGCCUGUCCUUUUGGAGCUUUGGACACAUUUCUUAGGAAUGUGAAGACUGCAGGCUCAACCCAGUCUUUGAAUCUGAAGUUUCAGCCAAGAGCACCUAACCUGAAACUACUGGGUGUCAGCAAGCCAGGAGCCAGGCUACAAGCUGUUUGUUCUUCGUGGCUUUAUUGCCAGGAGACAACUCAGGGAGCAGCAAUGGGCUGAAGCACCUGGUCACUUAGAUCUGGUUGGUGGUUUUGUGGCUCUCUGACUGAGACCUCUGGCAAGUUCUGCACCUUUCUGCUGUUCAUCUUGUUGCUUGAAAAAUGAGGCAGAGGAACCAGAUGAUCUUGGCUCCAGCCACGGAAAGGGUGAAGGCCGCGCGCCGUGCUCCACUGGCUGACUGUCGCAUGCUGCGUUCCCUGUGAAGCAUAGCAAGCCAUUACCAUGUCCACACGGGAUGCCGGAAGAGUUAAGGGUUCAGACCUGGCUCUGUUCACUACCCCUGCUCUGUACCAGGCUCACCAAAACACCUGGGGACAAGUGACCUGCACGCCAGGCAUGUACUCACAGUGAACCCGACAAGGGCAGACGGGAUACCUGCACGACUGAAGGCCACAGCUACCACUAGGUUUGCCUGGCCAGCGCCCACACUUCCUCUGAGCUCCAUCCUGGGUGGGCAGAAAAUGCUGUCUUCUUUGUAAGUAGAGGUUGCCUGUUUGGUAAAGAAAAUCUCCCUCUUCUCCACAAAGUAUUUAUCUUCUCAAGCAUCUUUCUAAAUUGCCUGGGUUCCACCAAUAGAAUCGUGCUUUUUACACACAGCUGAGAAACUGUUGAGCUGGGGAAUUCCAGUCUCUUGUUUGGAUUGCUUUGCAUUCGAAACAAGCAUAUUUCCUGGUAGAAUGCAACAGAAGUCAGAAAAAGAUAUGCGUAUGGUGCUCCAAUAGCUAGAUUAGUUCACUGUCAGGUCUUCUGAUUCUUAAAUUGUGUGUGUGUGUGUGUACACGCAUGUGUGUGCAAUCUCCAUAGAGACCAGAAGACAACAUUGGAUUCUACAGAACCAGAGGUACAAGCAGUUAUGAGUCUUGGAGCAGGCACUAGGGACAGUUGUGAGUUGCCUGACAAGAAUGCUGGGGCUCAAAUUCUGGUCCUCUGGAAAAUCAGUACGAGCUCUUAACAGCUGAGCCACUGCUCUAGCCUCACCCUGCCUUAAGACGAUGCUGAGACUCAGAGCCAAACUUUGGGCAGAGUGAGGGGAUCUUAUGAAAGAAGGGGGAGAUAGAAAGACCUGGAGGGGACAGGAGCUCCACAACAAACCAAAAACUAUGGGCAUAGGGGUCUUUGCUGAGACUGAUAAUCCAACCAAGGACCAUUCAUGGAUAUAACCUAGAACCCCUGCACAGAUGUAGCCCAUGACAGUUCAGUGUCCAAGUGGGUUCCCUAAUAAGGGAAACAGGGGCUGUCUCUGACAUGAACUCAGUGGCUGGCUCUUCGAUCACCCCCCCCUGAUGGGGGAGCAGCUUUACCAGGCCACAGAGGAAGACAAUUUAACCAGUUCUGAUGAAACCUGAUAGGCUAGGAUCAGAUAGAAGGGGAGGGAGGAGGACCUCC